UGGGGAAGUAUUGCACAAUGGGCGCAAGCCUGAUGCAGCGACGCCGCGUGCGGGAUGGAGGCCUGGUNUAACGCUUUUGUUCAAGGGCAAGGCAGGCUUUCGGGCC
RNAcentral lists this ribosomal RNA (106 nucleotides) under uncultured bacterium. RNAcentral describes it as "partial 16S ribosomal RNA". The record is from RNAcentral.